AAGAUUAUAAAAUAGAGCUGCUAACUCUAUAAUAAUGUCAACAUUUAAUCUUU
Molecule: transfer RNA, 53 nt
Filed under: Quadristernoseta cf. intermedia XFX-2019
Lineage: Eukaryota; Metazoa; Arthropoda; Arachnida; Mesostigmata; Diplogyniidae
Description: tRNA-Ser
Source: RNAcentral